UAGAGGAAGUAAAAGUCGUAACAAGGUUUCCGUAGGUGAACCUGCGGAAGGAUCAUUACAGUAGUCGCCCGGGUUGCCGCAAGGCCUCCCGGGUAACCUACCACCCUUUGUUUAUUACACUUUGUUGCUUUGGCAAGCCUGCCCUCGGGCUGCUGGCUCCGGCCGGCGAGCGCUUGCCAGAGGACCUAAACUCUGUUUGUUAAUAUUGUCUGAGUACUAUAUAAUAGUUAAAACUUUCAACAACGGAUCUCUUGGUUCUGGCAUCGAUGAAGAACGCAGCGAAAUGCGAUAAGUAAUGUGAAUUGCAGAAUUCAGUGAAUCAUCGAAUCUUUGAACGCACAUUGCGCCCCCUGGUAUUCCGGGGGGCAUGCCUGUCCGAGCGUCAUUACAACCCUCAAGCUCAGCUUGGUGUUGGGCCCCGCCGCCCCGGCGGGCCCUAAAGUCAGUGGCGGUGCCGUCCGGCUCCGAGCGUAGUAAUUCUUCUCGCUCUGGAGGUCCGGUCGUGUGCUCGCCAGCAACCCCCAAUUUUUUUCAGGUUGACCUCGGAUCAGGUAGGGAUACCCGCUGAACUUAAGCAUAUCAAU
RNAcentral lists this ribosomal RNA (584 nucleotides) under Geomyces sp. 24MN09. RNAcentral's name for it is "eukaryotic LSU rRNA". The stretch from base 232 to 385 matches the Rfam family "5.8S ribosomal RNA". Lineage: Eukaryota; Fungi; Ascomycota; Leotiomycetes; Thelebolales; Pseudeurotiaceae. The record is from RNAcentral.